RNAcentral lists this long non-coding RNA (738 nucleotides) under Rattus norvegicus (Norway rat). RNAcentral describes it as "long non-coding RNA NONRATT025184". Lineage: Eukaryota; Metazoa; Chordata; Mammalia; Rodentia; Muridae. The record is from RNAcentral.
GAGGCAACACAGUAAGACAAGGGACUUCUUUGAAGACAUAGAAAGGUUUCGGACUUAAUGAAAUGAUAGCACAGCAGGCUCGCCCUCUCCGCGAGUUUCUGAGGGAGGCAUCUGUUACAUCCCAAAUUUGUCAAAAACAGAAGUAUUGAGGAGACCUUCAGCAUCCAAACCAGACUUCAUCCUUCACCACCCAUCCUUUGCCACAGAAGCAACAACGUCAUUUGGUGUGGAAAACUCUGGGAAGAAAAAACCCGAGCCAUGGAAAAAAAUGUUCAACAGGAAUCUGCCUCCAGCUCUGCAGACUUUCAAGUUCGCCCUUGCUUCUUGGGUCUGGAAGCAAGACUCUUGUGCCCAGAAUAUGGCUGGACGAAGAAGGCCGUUUCAAAUCACACCCUGAGGGCUAGGAACAGAACACUUAGUCUACAGUCUUCCAAAGAGGAUUGAAGGGCUGGACUAUAGAGGCUCCUUUCUCAUUGGCUCUUGGUGAUGUCAUGGCCCUGUCUCCAGGGCCCAGGAAAUUCACCGUGACUAAUGGAGCCCUCACUUGUGAAUACACAUUCCGUCUCGGAGGAGCAGCAACAGUCUGAGUGUCAGGGCAACACAGAAGGCCCAGUUAGGGAUGCCAGCCAGCCAUGCACAGAGGGGCUCAGAAGUUCUGAAAUAAGCUAUUGGUUCACCUUCUCAGUAAACCCUCACCGACUAUCUGUGGCCUGUACCUACUACAGGCCGAGAACUGUU